This 253-nucleotide ribosomal RNA is filed under the name uncultured bacterium. RNAcentral's name for it is "partial 16S ribosomal RNA". It matches the Rfam family "Bacterial small subunit ribosomal RNA", at positions 524 to 776 of the family's 1533-position model. The record is from RNAcentral.
UACGAAGGGGGCUAGCGUUGCUCGGAAUCACUGGGCGUAAAGGGUGCGUAGGCGGGUCUUUAAGUCAGGGGUGAAAUCCUGGAGCUCAACUCCAGAACUGCCUUUGAUACUGAGGAUCUUGAGUUCGGGAGAGGUGAGUGGAACUGCGAGUGUAGAGGUGAAAUUCGUAGAUAUUCGCAAGAACACCAGUGGCGAAGGCGGCUUACUGGCCCGAUACUGACGCUGAGGCACGAAAGCGUGGGGAGCAAACAGG